Molecule: long non-coding RNA, 1917 nt
Organism: Cyprinus carpio (common carp)
Lineage: Eukaryota; Metazoa; Chordata; Actinopteri; Cypriniformes; Cyprinidae
Source: Ensembl
GAGUGUCAAUGAUCCAUUUGAGAGAUAGGUGGUGGUAAUGCACUUACAAGUCUGCGAUCCGCCAUAAAGCAAGAAGAAGAAUAAGAAGAAGAAGAAGACGCCUCGCGCGCCUGGCCGCCUGCUGCAGAGAACGCGUAUAGGAGGACGUGCUCAGGAGAGUUCUAACAGUUCGGACAUUGCAUGAAUCAGAGGAAUGCUAAGCUCAUCGGGUCUGUGAACGUGUUUGAACAGCAGCCCAUAAACUGCUGAUCACAGCUUUAGCUCCAGAGGCAGUGACUGAAAUUAACUAGCAUCAGACUCCUCGGCGAUCCUCCCCAUCUCCUCCCUCUCCUCCUCACUGAGAGGUUACCCAUGGUGCAGAGUGCUCAUAAUGAGAACAUGCUGGAGAUGUUUUGAUGAGAUGGCCUUACUGCUCUGUGCAUGCAUGUGUGUGCCAGUGGGUGUUUCCGAACCCGAAGGUGUAUGUGUGUCUGUUCCUCUUCCUCUCUGUGUGACCCGCUGUUCCCAAGAAAGCUGACCUGACUGGGAAAACAAAAGCUGCACUCUUAUUGACCCAGUUCACACUGGUGCAUAAAUCUGAUUGGGCGACAGGUUCUUUUACCUCACACUUGUUGUAAAGAAUGUGCGGUCUGAGUUCAACUUGAAAGAAAGCGGAAAUAUUUUGUGAUCACUCUUAAAAGGGUCUUUGUUUAAUCUCAUACUAUGUCUAGAAGCAUGUUUGCCUAAAGUGGUCACAAAAGAGCAUUUGUAAUCCCUAGGAAUUCGAUGUCUUGCUCUCAUUGGACACGUCUUAUCUGGAUUCUGAUUUUAUGAGUCCAUUCUAACUGACAGCAUACCAGACAGUGACAGACAUAUUUGAAAAUUGAUUAACUUUUAUGUGUGAGAAGCACUCUGCUCACAAUGGACUUCGUCUUAUCCUUUGCAUUGCACAAGCACACCAUGUAACCCCCAGUUAAAAUUGCACUCUAGGUCAUGCUUCUCUUAAGAGCGCUGGUGACAAGUUCAUCUGGGAGACAAAUUAGGGCUGGAAGCAUAGGAGGAACUCUGUACACAUUUGAAAUUGUUCCCAUUCAGAGACAGGAUCAGAUUUGUUUCUUUUUGUUGUUGACCCCUUUUCUUAAUGGCAGUUCAACAUUUUCCUCAGUACAAACAAGAUAUGGCGACAUUGACGCAACCAAUGGUGUGAGUUUGCAGCAGGACUAUCCACUGGUGACCAAUGCUUGACAGGGAGUUGUUUAGGAAACCUGUUUGGAAUUGUCAAUAUUUUUGCAAAUCACUUUGGUGAUUGCCAAUUCACUUUUGCACCACUAGUGUCAGCAAACAAAAUUAGCAAUCUGUUUGGCGAAUGAGAGAGACUGCUGUAAUUGUUUUUGCAUUUUUGUUAGGUGCCACAUUGGCACAGAUAUUAUGCACUUAUCAUUUAAUAACAGUGACGCCAGUGAUUUACUGUGAAUGAUCUGACUGCCAACAGGCUGGCAGUGCUAUCAAAAAAAGACUGCAAAAGCAACACUCAUCUAGCAUCAUCAAAGAAAUCCAUAGUUUUAUUAACUAACAUUUAUAAAGAUUAUUUAAAACAUUUAUUUGCUCAUUGUUAGUUCACAGAAGGUAAUGCAUUUACUAAUGUUACCUAAUGUUACCAUUCACCCAGGAAUUUGAAUUUUGUACAUUUUUAUUUUUAUUUUUUUUUACAAAAGAACACUUUUUAAAGGAUAUUUUUUCUUCUAAUCUCUGUUUCUGUUUUGUUGUCUUGUGAUCAUGACUUAGGUUUCUCACAAGAAGAAAAAACAUUAUUCUGAAAAAUUCAGUCAUCCAUAUUGCACUUAGAAAUAGGUUUUGUAUUUCUGAAUUAGGAAAAUACUAAAGCACUUUGAGAUCUCAAGAAAACAGUUAUUAAAAUAAAAAUAAUAAAAAGAGUCA